GGCCUCGAAUCAGGUAGGACUACCCGCUGAACUUAAGCAUAUCAAUAAGCGGAGGAAAAGAAACUAACAAGGAUUCCCCUAGUAACGGCGAGUGAAGCGGGAAGAGCUCAAAUUUGAAAUCUGGUGGACUUCGUUCAUCCGAGUUGUAAUCUAGAGAAGUGUUUUCCGUGCCGGCCAAUGUACAAGUCCCUUGGAACAGGGCAUCAUAGAGGGUGAGAAUCCCGUACUUGACAUUGAUCACCGGUGCUCUGUGAUACACUUUCAAAGAGUCGAGUUGUUUGGGAAUGCAGCUCAAAAUGGGUGGUAAAUUCCAUCUAAAGCUAAAUAUUGGCGAGAGACCGAUAGCGAACAAGUACCGUGAGGGAAAGAUGAAAAGCACUUUUGGAAAGAGAGUUAAACAGUAUGUGAAAAUUGUUAAAAAGGGAAACGAUUGAAAGUCAGUCAUGCCUUCUGGACUCAGCCGGUUCUUCCGGUGUACUUCCAGUCGACGGGGUCAACAUCAGUUUUGCUCGGUGGAUAAGGGCUGGAGGAAGGUAGCACCCCCGGGUGAGCUUAUAGCCUCCUGUCGCAUACGCCGGGUGGGACUGAGGAACGCAGCAUGCCUUUCGGCCGGGGCUCGCCCACGUACAUGCUUAGGAUGUUGACAUAAUGGCUUUAAACGACCCGUCUUGAAACACGGACCAAGGAGUCUAACAUAUCUGCGAGUAUUUGGG
This 713-nucleotide ribosomal RNA is filed under the name Zyzygomyces physconiae. RNAcentral describes it as "Basidiomycota sp. AMM-2022e partial large subunit ribosomal RNA". It matches the Rfam family "Eukaryotic large subunit ribosomal RNA", at positions 1 to 698 of the family's 3401-position model. Lineage: Eukaryota; Fungi; Basidiomycota; Tremellomycetes; Filobasidiales; Filobasidiaceae. The record is from RNAcentral.